This 346-nucleotide non-coding RNA is filed under the name Nippostrongylus brasiliensis. RNAcentral describes it as "Eukaryotic small subunit ribosomal RNA". It matches the Rfam family "Eukaryotic small subunit ribosomal RNA", at positions 118 to 427 of the family's 1831-position model. The record is from Rfam by way of RNAcentral. Lineage: Eukaryota; Metazoa; Nematoda; Chromadorea; Rhabditida; Heligmosomidae.
UAUUAGAUUCUUGUCAUCCACUAUUGGAAAUGUGAUCUCGUAUCCAGUAGAAAGCACAAUCUGAACGAAACACUGCAUCGUAUUUUUAGUCACUAUCUAUGCAAUAAAACCCUGACUUUUGAAAGGGUGCAAUUAUUAGUGCAAACCAAUCAUCUUCGGAUGUUUUUUGCUGACUCUGAACAACGCAGCAUUUCGACGAAUUGUCCGCUGCUGUUCCGAAAAAGUGUCUGCCCUAUCAACCUGAUGGUAGUCUAUUAGUCUACCAUGGCUAUUAUGGGUAACGGAUAGUAAGAGUUCGACUCCGGAGAGUUGGUCUCAGAAACGGCUAUUACAUCCAAGGAAGGCA